Molecule: ribosomal RNA, 467 nt
Filed under: uncultured bacterium
Lineage: Bacteria
Description: bacterial SSU rRNA
Rfam family: Bacterial small subunit ribosomal RNA
Source: RNAcentral
GACGAACGCUGGCGGCGUGCUUAACACAUGCAAGUCGAGCGAUGAAGUUUCCUUCGGGAAACGGAUUAGCGGCGGACGGGUGAGUAACGCGUGAGGAACCUGCCUCAAAGAGGGGGACAACAGUUGGAAACGACUGCUAAUACCGCAUAAGCCCACGGGUCGGCAUCGACCAGAGGGAAAAGGAGUGAUCCGCUUUGAGAUGGCCUCGCGUCCGAUUAGCUAGUUGGUGAGGUAACGGCCCACCAAGGCGACGAUCGGUAGCCGGACUGAGAGGUUGAACGGCCACAUUGGGACUGAGACACGGCCCAGACUCCUACGGGAGGCAGCAGUGGGGGAUAUUGCGCAAUGGGGGGCAACCCUGACGCAGCAACGCCGCGUGAAGGAUGAAGGUUUUCGGGUUGUAAACUUCUUUUGUCAGGGAACAGUAGAAGAGGGUACCUGACGAAUAAGCCACGGCUAACUACGUG